AAUCCAUAGGUUAAUGAGGCGAACCGGGGGAACUGAAACAUCUAAGUACCCCGAGGAAAAGAAAUCAACCGAGAUUCCCCCAGUAGCGGCGAGCGAACGGGGAGGAGCCCAGAGCCUGAAUCAGCAUGUGUGUUAGUGGAAGCGUCUGGAAAGGCGCGCGAUACAGGGUGACAGCCCCGUACACAAAAGCGCAUGUGCUGUGAGCUCGAUGAGUAGGGCGGGACACGUGGUAUCCUGUCUGAAUAUGGGGGGACCAUCCUCCAAGGCUAAAUACUCCUGACUGACCGAUAGUGAACCAGUACCGUGAGGGAAAGGCGAAAAGAACCCCGGCGAGGGGAGUGAAAAAGAACCUGAAACCGUGUACGUACAAGCAGUGGGAGCCCCACCACCAAAGCAUUUGCUGUACCGCGUUGACGGAGCGAAGCGACGUCAAACCGAUAAAACAGCA
RNAcentral lists this ribosomal RNA (448 nucleotides) under Salmonella enterica subsp. enterica serovar Enteritidis. RNAcentral describes it as "partial 23S ribosomal RNA". It matches the Rfam family "Bacterial large subunit ribosomal RNA", at positions 161 to 584 of the family's 2925-position model. The record is from RNAcentral. Lineage: Bacteria; Pseudomonadati; Pseudomonadota; Gammaproteobacteria; Enterobacterales; Enterobacteriaceae.